This is a non-coding RNA of Ictidomys tridecemlineatus (thirteen-lined ground squirrel), 992 nucleotides long. Lineage: Eukaryota; Metazoa; Chordata; Mammalia; Rodentia; Sciuridae. The record is from RefSeq and is a predicted model, not a curated record.
UGAGCCACUUUCUUCCAACGCCGUCUCCUGCCACGAUGUUCCUGCUCGGAGCCAGCCAACCAUGAGCCAAAAUUAAGUCUUUUCCCUUUAAGUUGUUUGUGUUGGGCAUUUUGGUCGGAGUGACUGGAAGCUGGAGCAGUCACUGAGCUGGCUGAGUGUCAAGGGCCGGAUUGAGAUUGAGGCAAUCAGGACCCAGAUGUCAUCAUCAUAACAACCACGGUCGCGGGAAGGAGGCUCCGAGGAGGUGAUUGAUGAGUCCAAGGUCACAUAGCAAGUCGCCGGCUGUGCGGACAGGCAUCAAGGAGCAGGGGAGAAGUUCUUCAUGCUCCGAGGAGGCAGCCUGGAGGACACUGGAACUAGGUCUAGCAAUACAAAUCGGAUCUUGCCAGAAAGCAGGAAGAGCUUCCCAAGCGAGGUCGAAGCCCGGGUGUCAGCGGGGAGACCGCAAGUGGAGGGUCCAAGGCAGGAUCACAGAGGGGAUUGGGAAGAGCCCUGGGGGCGCGAGGUGGGCACCUGCAGUGAGGUCUGCAGGCUCCGCGCUCUUCUGCCUGGGAGUCCCACAGUACUCCUCAGACUCACUCCCAGAGUCCCACUUUCCUCAGUUUUAUGGAUGAGAAAGGAAAGGCCUGCUGGGAGUACCUACUUACUCGUGUGGCCCUGGGGGAGCUGUGGUGCUGGGCGCGUGUUCUGCCCCAGCGGCUGGCUCUGUGUAAUCCAGGGGCUCCUUCUAACCAGGAGAUCCCCAUCAGAGGCAAAGACAGGAGGGGGACAUUAUCCCCUAUUUGGCAUCCAGGUGCCACCUGGCUUCCCCAGCACCAGGAACCAGUGGCACCAGCCAGAAACCUAAUCCCUUCCUCCCGGAAGCCCACUCCUUGGUGGCAGUUUCUUCCACGAAUCCCCAGACCACACUCUUCCUCUUUGGAGGCUCUAAGACCCUGGCGGGGGGUGGGGUGGGUAGAGGCCGGCCUCCCCGUCCUGCCUCCCCUUCUGUG